UCCUACGGGAGGCAGCAGUGGGGAAUAUUGGACAAUGGGGGAAACCCUGAUCCAGCGACGCCGCGUGUGUGAAGAAGGCCUGCGGGUUGUAAAGCACUUUUAGUGGGGAUGAAAAGCUCAGGGCUAAUACUCCUGGGUCUUGACCUAACCUAAAGAAAAAGCACCGGCUAGCUCUGUGCCAGCAGCCGCGGUAAU
Molecule: ribosomal RNA, 195 nt
Filed under: uncultured Gemmatimonadota bacterium
Lineage: Bacteria; Pseudomonadati; Gemmatimonadota
Description: uncultured Gemmatimonadetes bacterium partial 16S ribosomal RNA
Rfam family: Bacterial small subunit ribosomal RNA
Source: RNAcentral